GAUGAACGCUGGCGGCGUGCCUAAUACAUGCAAGUCGAGCGAACGGACGAGAAGCUUGCUUCUCUGAUGUUAGCGGCGGACGGGUGAGUAACACGUGGAUAACCUACCUAUAAGACUGGGAUAACUUCGGGAAACCGUAGCUAAUACCGGAUAAUAUUUUGAACCGCAUGGUUCAAAAGUGAAAGACGGUCUUGCUGUCACUUAUAGAUGGAUCCGCGCUGCAUUAGCUAGUUGGUAAGGUAACGGCUUACCAAGGCAACGAUGCAUAGCCGACCUGAGAGGGUGAUCGGCCACACUGGGACUGAGACACGGUCCAGACUCCUACGGGAGGCAGCAGUAGGGAAUCUUCCGCAAUGGGCGAAAGCCUGACGGAGCAACGCCACGUGAGUGAUGAAGGUCUUCGGAUCGUAAAACUCUGUUAUUAGGGAAGAACAUAUGUGUAAGUAACUGUGCACAUCUUGACGGUACCUAAUCAGAAAGCCACGGCUAACUACGUG
This 497-nucleotide ribosomal RNA is filed under the name uncultured bacterium. RNAcentral's name for it is "partial 16S ribosomal RNA". It matches the Rfam family "Bacterial small subunit ribosomal RNA", at positions 28 to 507 of the family's 1533-position model. The record is from RNAcentral.